Molecule: ribosomal RNA, 554 nt
Filed under: uncultured bacterium
Lineage: Bacteria
Description: partial 16S ribosomal RNA
Rfam family: Bacterial small subunit ribosomal RNA
Source: RNAcentral
UAGGGAAUCUUCGGCAAUGGACGAAAGUCUGACCGAGCAACGCCGCGUGAGUGAAGAAGGUUUUCGGAUCGUAAAACUCUGUUGUUAGAGAAGAACGUUGCAUAGAGUGGAAAAUUAUGCAAGUGACGGUAUCUAACCAGAAAGGGACGGCUAACUACGUGCCAGCAGCCGCGGUAAUACGUAGGUCCCGAGCGUUGUCCGGAUUUAUUGGGCGUAAAGCGAGCGCAGGUGGUUUAAUAAGUCUGAUGUAAAAGGCAGUGGCUCAACCAUUGUGUGCAUUGGAAACUGUUAGACUUGAGUGCAGUAGAGGAGAGUGGAAUUCCAUGUGUAGCGGUGAAAUGCGUAGAUAUAUGGAGGAACACCGGUGGCGAAAGCGGCUCUCUGGACUGUCACUGACACUGAGGCUCGAAAGCGUGGGUAGCAAACAGGAUUAGAUACCCUGGUAGUCCACGCCGUAAACGAUGAGUGCUAGUUGUUUGGGGCUAUCCAGCCCUAAGUGACGCAGCAAACGCAUUAAGCACUCCGCCUGGGGAGUACGACCGCAAGGUUGAAAC